ACGUAGAGCUGACAUGGUCAGGGACAGGCGGAGAGUCAGCCCGCCCAGCGUUCAGGAGUUAACAGGCAAUCUCGGUCGGCAACAGGAGUCAGAACUGGUAAUAGGAAGAGAGCAGAACCACGUGGCAAAGCAACAAGUAGCAAGCCGGACGAGCGACAACAAGUGACGGAAAUGCAGGGUUAAUGAGCUGGGAGCAGGGGUGGUAAUCUGCUGAUCACUGCAUAACAAGACGGGAGGGGAAAGAGCAGGGAAAGAGAACUGUCCGAGAAUGACAUUGGACAAGGCACAAGGGACACACCCUAAGGGAGGUAUUUCCAGUUCAACAACUUUAUGCUGAUGUCCAAAGUUGUGUAACGAGUCUUGCACACAUACUCAUAGAAAUGCUUUCGACUUUUACGUUCAACAUGUGAAUUUAAAUUUGAUGUUAUGAGAUUAGAUUAUAAAUUGCAUAGCAAUAUAUGUUCAAUUAUAGACCUCUGAGAGUUUAUGAAACAGAUGAUUCCAUUAUCAUUUUUAUUUUAUACAAAAAAAUGCCAUGCAUCUUUUGUCACGUUCUACAACAGUCAACAAAAACACACUGACACUAGUAAAGAAACAUGAACAUUUGGCAAAGAAGUGGCCUAAAAUGACUUGGUGUGUACAUUUUGGAGGGAGGCGGGGCGUAUAAUCUGACAAAAGUCAUCAUUCGACAACCAUCCGGAACUUGACAAGAAUUUGUAGGUUUUGUAUCUAGAUUUCUAACUUUUUGUGGACUGUGCUGGUUUUGGCUAUGUAGGGAGUGACACUGAUUUUGCUGAAAAGUCCAAUGGUUAUAUAAAGUCAUAUAGAUUAUACAUGUAGAUAUACAGUAGAAUUUGUGUUCUUUCGAACUAAAUUCCUGUGAGGUCAUGUGACUCUCAAUAAGUCAAUUGUACACAAUAGUCAGUUUUUGUAUCCUGAAAACAUACAUGGAGAGGUAAAUCGUAAAAUCCUUUAUUCAUUUUGCUUCAAAUGAGCAAAUGUAGAGAGAAAAAAAAAAUCAUCUUCUCGGUUACUUAUAUUUGGCACAGUUUGGAUGUGGCAAAUUGCUUCUACCCCCCUCGGAUAUAGGCUGUAUGACACGAGAAGGCAUUUGUGAAUUGCAGUACAGUACAAUGAAAUAAGAGGAAAGCUGGAUUGUGGAAGAAAUGCUACACUCCUUGUUUGAAGGAAAAUAAAAAGAGGUAGGAAAAAUCCACAAAAUGUAGACAGUUUUGUAAGACGCGGGAAGCGGUAAGGAACACUUGUCAAGCAUGCGACGCACUCACGCACGCACGCACACAGACACAAAGCCUGCUAACGGCAGAGCAGCAUGCGUAAAAUCAGCCCACAAAACAGUUUUGUUCUGGAAAUAGCUUAUGUCCUCAAAUAGUGGCCGCCACUCUAAUAGACGUGCCUAGAUUGGUCGCGGAGUAGAUCAAGCUCUUGAACAAAUAAAGAUAU
Molecule: long non-coding RNA, 1461 nt
Organism: Syngnathus acus (greater pipefish)
Lineage: Eukaryota; Metazoa; Chordata; Actinopteri; Syngnathiformes; Syngnathidae
Exons: 3
Source: RefSeq, a predicted model, not a curated record